AUUGAACGCUGGCGGCAGGCCUAACACAUGCAAGUCGAGCGGAUGAAGGGAGCUUGCUCCUGGAUUCAGCGGCGGACGGGUGAGUAAUGCCUAGGAAUCUGCUGGUAGUGGGGGAUAACGGCCGGAAACGGGCGCUAAUACCGCAUACGUCCUGAGGGAGGAAGGGGGGGAUCUUCGGACCUCACGCUAUCCGAUGAGCCUAGGUCGGAUUAGCUAGUUGGUGGGGUAAAGGCCUACCAAGGCGACGAUCCGUAACUGGUCUGAGAGGAUGAUCAGUCACACUGGAACUGAGACACGGUCCAGACUCCUACGGGAGGCAGCAGUGGGGAAUAUUGGACAAUGGGCGAAAGCCUGAUCCAGCCAUGCCGCGUGUGUGAAGAAGGUCUUCGGAUUGUAAGGCACUUUAAGUUGGGAGGAAGGGCAGUAAGUUAAUACCUUGCUGUUUUGACGUUACCAACAGAAUAAGCACCGGCUAACUUCGUG
Molecule: ribosomal RNA, 483 nt
Filed under: uncultured bacterium
Lineage: Bacteria
Description: partial 16S ribosomal RNA
Rfam family: Bacterial small subunit ribosomal RNA
Source: RNAcentral